GAUGAACGCUGGCGGCGUGCCUAAUACAUGCAAGUCGAGCGAACAGACGAGGAUCUUGCUCCUCUGACGUUAGCGGCGGACGGGUGAGUAACACGUGGAUAACCUACCUAUAAGACUGGGAUAACUUCGGGAAACCGGAUCUAAUACCGGAUAAUAUAUUGAACCGCAUGGUUCAAUAGUGAAAGACGGUUUUGCUGUCACGUAUAGAUGGAUCCGCGCCGGAUUAGCUAGUUGGUAAGGUAACGGCUUACCAAGGCGACGAUGCGUAGCCGACCUGAGAGGGUGAUCGGCCACACUGGAACUGAGACACGGUCCAGACUCCUACGGGAGGCAGCAGUAGGGAAUCUUCCGCAAUGGGCGAAAGCCUGACGGAGCAACGCCGCGUGAGUGAUGAAGGUCUUCGGAUCGUAAAACUCUGUUAUUAGGGAAGAACAAAUGUGUAAGUAACUAUGGACGUCUUGACGGUACCUAAACAGAAAGCAACGGCUAACUACGUG
Molecule: ribosomal RNA, 497 nt
Filed under: uncultured bacterium
Lineage: Bacteria
Description: partial 16S ribosomal RNA
Rfam family: Bacterial small subunit ribosomal RNA
Source: RNAcentral